RNAcentral lists this ribosomal RNA (423 nucleotides) under uncultured bacterium. RNAcentral describes it as "bacterial SSU rRNA". It matches the Rfam family "Bacterial small subunit ribosomal RNA", at positions 207 to 622 of the family's 1533-position model. The record is from RNAcentral.
AAGACCUUGCGCUUUUGGAGCGGCCGAUGCCUGAUUAGCUUGUUGGUAAGGUAAAAGCUUACCAAGGCUUCGAUCAGUAGCUGGUCUGAGAGGACGGCCAGCCACACUGGGACUGAGACACGGCCCAGACUCCUACGGGAGGCAGCAGUGGGGAAUUUUGGACAAUGGGGGCAACCCUGAUCCAGCCAUGCCGCGUGAGUGAAGAAGGCCUUCGGGUUGUAAAGCUCUUUCAGCCGGAACGAAACGGUUACGGUUAAUGCCCGUGAUUACUGACGGUACCGGAAGAAGAAGCACCGGCUAACUACGUGCCAGCAGCCGCGGUAAUACGUAGGGUGCGAGCGUUAAUCGGAAUUACUGGGCGUAAAGCGUGCGCUGGUGGUUUUGUAAGUCAGAUGUGAAAGCCCCGGGCUCAACCUGGGAACU